GCAUCCUGCCUGUUCAGCUGGUAUUGAGGCAACUGGUCACAGUGAACUAUCCAGGGAUGGCUAAGAACUUGGGCUGCAGUCAGUCUUUGAUGUGGGUCAACAUGAAGCAUUUUUGAAACGAGGUCCUUCGCUGUAUCUGAAACAGUGUUCCAAUAACCACCGCUCAGAGAGAAUUUUCCACUACCUAUCCGGGCCAAGAUCUCCUCUG
Molecule: long non-coding RNA, 208 nt
Filed under: Gallus gallus (chicken)
Lineage: Eukaryota; Metazoa; Chordata; Aves; Galliformes; Phasianidae
Source: RNAcentral